AUGCAUGUCAAAGAACAACCAUUUUUGCAAGGACGACCAAAUAGGAAUGUAGUUUGUUUACCAUAUUGCAUAAACUCCUAUUUGCAAAAAGAUGUAGAGAAGGGUUUGAUUCCAUCUCUUGUAACGACAUUGAUCAAGAUUUACACCGCCAGGCAGAAGACCCGGAAGAACAAGGGCGUCGAGCCCUCCAAAUUCGAGGCUAGCAUCGCGCAGGCUUUAUUUCACUUCGAGAAAGGCAAUCGUGAGCUCAAGGGUGACCUCAAAGACAUGUACAUCAACACUAGAAUUCCAGAUGAUGUUGUUGGUAACAGGAAGGCCGUUCUGGUCUAUGUGCCAUACCAUCUGCGCAAGACCUUCAGGAAGAUCCACGACAGAUUUUUUUGCUCUUUUCAUUAUCCACUCUUCCUGUUUUAG
This 414-nucleotide ribosomal RNA is filed under the name Triticum aestivum (bread wheat). RNAcentral's name for it is "partial small subunit ribosomal RNA". Lineage: Eukaryota; Viridiplantae; Streptophyta; Magnoliopsida; Poales; Poaceae. The record is from RNAcentral.